Molecule: long non-coding RNA, 393 nt
Organism: Cygnus olor (mute swan)
Lineage: Eukaryota; Metazoa; Chordata; Aves; Anseriformes; Anatidae
Exons: 3
Source: RefSeq, a predicted model, not a curated record
AGAACAAAGCAUCAUCUGGAGUACUGUGCCAAAUUUGGUGCACCACAUUUCAAAGAAGAUUGGAAUAAAUCCAAAAGAAAGUAGAAUUGGUCAGCAGCAGUGUCCUUGAAGAAGUGGAAUUAAAAGAAGGAAAAAAGAAGCAGCAGCAUUCUUGUUGGUUACCAAUGAGGGAAGAGACACAGAGGACACCCUAAGAAAAGUAGUACCACAGAAAGGAAGGAAGGCAUGAGACAAAGGCAUCAGAAGGAGAAACAGAAUCAGAAAGUUGGUAAGAAGAAGUGCAAAAAUUAAUUCGAAAAGCCUUCACAAAACAAGAGAGAAGGAAAAAAAAUCUAGCAUGAAAAAUCUAGCAUCUAGGGAUGAAAAGCAAAAAGAGCAAAAAGUUUGGAAAAG